GGAAUACCAACAGAAUAAACAGACUUUAGUCCUGCCAUCUGCCCUGGCCCAUGCAGCCUGGCAUUGUUUAGGGGAUCAUACCUGGCUUCCCACCCAGGCCACAUGACUCUAGAGGGCAAGACUUAGUAAGGUCACGUAGUAGGAGCUCAAUAUAAUUUAUUGGUUAGACAAGAGGAAACCACUUCUUCUCUUGACAAGCCAUGUAAAUUGUAACCACUGAAAGUCCGCUGUUUCGAUUCUGGGCAAGAUGCUAUGGCAGAACAGGGACCAUGAUGAACUACUUAGAAAAAUACAUAAGGCCAUACCCAUGCAGGAGACCUCUCCAGGUACACAUAUUUCCUGCUACUGAAUGGCUUAGACUGGGAUUUGCAAGGAACUACGAAGUCCAAGACCUUUGCCUUUCUUUUAGAAGAAGGCACCAGCUGGUUCUCCAAUGUUGAAGGUCUUCUCCAGAGAUGGGCAUGCAGAAGGAGUGAAAAAACAAGAAGGAAGACAAGGAAGACAUUGUUUUGGCUGCUGACAUUUCCUGAAAGAUCUGAGGCGUCCCCUUCACUUCGGGCAUGGGACCCAGACGGCUGAGUGAUGGACCUUAAGGUGUGGGGAGAUUACAACUUGCUCAAGGUCUCAUAGCUAGAAGAUGUCAGAGUGAUAACUCAAACCAUGUCACA
RNAcentral lists this long non-coding RNA (668 nucleotides) under Homo sapiens (human). RNAcentral describes it as "long intergenic non-protein coding RNA 511". The record is from RNAcentral. Lineage: Eukaryota; Metazoa; Chordata; Mammalia; Primates; Hominidae.